AGCCACGGCACACCCUAGUGUGCGUCUCCAGAUUUGCACUCUGAUGUGAAACACCUCAUGGCUUG
RNAcentral lists this transfer RNA (65 nucleotides) under Ctenotus robustus. RNAcentral describes it as "tRNA-Cys". The record is from RNAcentral. Lineage: Eukaryota; Metazoa; Chordata; Lepidosauria; Squamata; Scincidae.